This 1245-nucleotide ribosomal RNA is filed under the name metagenome. RNAcentral's name for it is "bacterial LSU rRNA". It matches the Rfam family "Bacterial large subunit ribosomal RNA", at positions 1564 to 2818 of the family's 2925-position model. The record is from RNAcentral.
UGAGUACGAGACGCUAAGGCGUCGAAGUAGUGUAUGUCAUACUUCCAAGAAAAGCUUGCACUGUCAUAGAUAAAAAACGCCUGUACCAUAACCGACACAGGUGGGUAGGUAGAGUAUACUAAGGGGCGCGAGAUAACUCUCUCUAAGGAACUCGGCAAAAUAACUCCGUAACUUCGGGAGAAGGAGUGCCUUAUUCGUAAGGUUGCAAUAACAAGAUCCAAGCAACUGUUUAUCAAAAACACAGGUCUCCGCUAAGUCGUAAGACGAUGUAUGGGGGCUGACGCCUGCCCAGUGCCAGAAGGUUAAAGAAGUUGGUUAGCAAUUGCGAAGCUGAUAACUGAAGCCCUGGUGAACGGCGGCCGUAACGAUAACGGUCCUAAGGUAGCGAAAUUCCUUGUCGGGUAAGUUCCGACCCGCACGAAAGGCGUAAUGAUUUGGAUACUGUCUCGGAGAGGGGCUCGGUGAAAUAGACUUGUCUGUGAAGAUGCGGACUACCUGCACCAGGACAGAAAGACCCUAUGAAGCUUUACUGUAACUUGAAAUUGAAAUUGGACUUUAUUCGCGCAGUAUAGGUGGGAGGCGUUGAUUAUAAUCUUGUGGGAUUAUUGGAGCCAUCAGUGGGAUACCACUCUUGUAAUGUUAGAUUUCUAACUUUGAAUCAUUAUCUGGUCAAAGAACAGUUUCAGGCGGGCAGUUUGACUGGGGCGGUCGCCUCCUAAACGGUAACGGAGGCGUACAAAGGUUUCCUCUGAACGGUUAGAAAUCGUAUCUAGAGUGUAAAGGCAUAAGGAAGCUUGACUGUGAGACCUACAAGUCGAGCAGGGACGAAAGUCGGUCUUAGUGAUCUGACGGUACUGAGUGGAAAGGCCGUCACUCAACGGAUAAAAGUUACUCUAAGGAUAACAGGCUGAUCUCCCCCAAGAGUUCACAUCGACGGGGAGGUUUGGCACCUUGAUGUCGGCUCAUCGCAUCCUGGGGCGGUAGUACGUCCCAAGGGUUGGGCUGUUCGCCCAUGAAAGCGGUACGCGAGCUGGGUUCAGAACGUCGUGAGACAGUUCGGUCCAUAUCCGGUGUAGGCGUUAGAAUAUUGAGAGGAGCCUUCUUUAGUACGAGAGGACCGAGAAGGACAUACCUCUGGUGUACCAGUUAUCGUGCCAACGGUAAACGCUGGGUAGCUAUGUAUGGAGUGGAUAACCGCUGAAAGCAUCUAAGUGGGAAGCCCACCUCAAGAUAAGUAUUCUCAUC